RNAcentral lists this transfer RNA (75 nucleotides) under Nanobdellota archaeon. RNAcentral's name for it is "tRNA-Gln". The record is from RNAcentral. Lineage: Archaea; Nanobdellati; Nanobdellota.
AGCCCCGUAGUGUAGCGGCCAAUCAUUCAGGCUUUUGGACAGCCUGGGACCCCAGUUCGAAUCUGGGCGGGGCUA